CAGAAAGUAGUUUAAUAAAAAUACCAGCUUUGGGAGUUGGGGAUAAAGGUUUAAUUCCUUUUUUUCUGA
This 69-nucleotide transfer RNA is filed under the name Pachyramphus minor. It matches the Rfam family "tRNA". From Rfam's summary of the family: Transfer RNA (tRNA) molecules are approximately 80 nucleotides in length. Their secondary structure includes four short double-helical elements and three loops (D, anti-codon, and T loops). The record is from Rfam by way of RNAcentral. Lineage: Eukaryota; Metazoa; Chordata; Aves; Passeriformes; Tyrannidae.